AGAUGUGAGGGCGAUCUGACUGCGACAUCUGUCACCCCAUUGAUCUCCAGGGUUGACUCAGCUGAUCUGGCUGGCUAGGCGGGUGUCUCCUUCCUCCCUCAGGGCUCCAUGCGCAUCCCUCCUGAAGCUGUGCGCUUUCCCCAUCAGAACAGGAUGGCCUUCCCCGAAUAGGGAUGGACCAGUCUUUUUCGGUCGAGGGUAUGCGAGUAGCUUCGCUCCCCUGGUAGAACCUCCAAAAGAAACUUAUAAGGGCAGAACAAUCAAUAAUAAUAGAAAUAAUAAUGAUAAUAAAAAUAAAACAAUAAAAAUAU
This 311-nucleotide small nuclear RNA is filed under the name Sorex araneus (European shrew). RNAcentral's name for it is "7SK RNA (ENSSARG00000017696.1)". It matches the Rfam family "7SK RNA". Rfam says of the family: 7SK was discovered as an abundant small nuclear RNA in the mid-70s but a possible function has only recently been suggested. Lineage: Eukaryota; Metazoa; Chordata; Mammalia; Eulipotyphla; Soricidae. The record is from RNAcentral.